This 236-nucleotide long non-coding RNA is filed under the name Lathyrus oleraceus (garden pea). RNAcentral describes it as "Pisum sativum (pea) long non-coding RNA (PSAT_LNC024472)". The record is from RNAcentral. Lineage: Eukaryota; Viridiplantae; Streptophyta; Magnoliopsida; Fabales; Fabaceae.
AUAAUUUUAGGUGUCAUUUUGAUAUCGAUUUAUCAAACUUAACAAUAAUUUCUUUUAUUGUCUUGUCAUUUUCAUCUAUUAACAAAAUUUAAAUAAAAAAUAAAAAUUUAAAAAAAUUAUAAAAAAUAAAAAUUAAAUAUUAUUUUUAGUCUCUUAACUUUAUUUUUGGAUUCAAUUUGAUCUCUUAAAUUUUAAAAAGACUGAAUUGAUCCUUUAACUCUUAAAAUAGGGCCAAG